CAAUAACGGAUCAACUCGCAAGGAAAGUUCAUCACCGGCAUAAUGGGUAAAAGUGAGAUAAUUUGAAGGGCAUUUGGCAGCAAGACUGGCCCUUGGCAUUUGACAAAAAUGCCAAGAAGAAUGAACUGGAAAACAAACCUUAGGAGAUUAUAUCCAUGGAAUUUAGUGAGUGGUGGGAAGUGGAUCACUAUUUGAGUGCAAGUGGUUACCUUGGAGACAAUAUUCACCCUUUUUGUGGCCCUGUCUAAGGAUAAGUGUAACAUUUCAAAUGAAGAGUUCCGCAGGUAUAUCUCUAACGUGGAAUAUGAGGUUAUGCAUCAUCUUUGUGGCGGUUUCAAAGGAGGUUUUGAUGAAAAAAAGUUCAAUAGUAUGCCUUGAUUAAAGGGUGCCUUGAUUGAAGAUGCAGCGGGGAAAAUCAACAGCGAAAUAGCAGUCACAAAGUGGUAUUAGGUUUUAACUUGGUAUCAGUUUUUGUACGGGUUCAUUUGAGAGGGGCUGCAUUUGAGAGGGUGAUGGAU
Molecule: long non-coding RNA, 518 nt
Organism: Vicia villosa (hairy vetch)
Lineage: Eukaryota; Viridiplantae; Streptophyta; Magnoliopsida; Fabales; Fabaceae
Exons: 5
Source: RefSeq, a predicted model, not a curated record